RNAcentral lists this ribosomal RNA (460 nucleotides) under Lactococcus lactis. RNAcentral describes it as "bacterial SSU rRNA". It matches the Rfam family "Bacterial small subunit ribosomal RNA", at positions 28 to 479 of the family's 1533-position model. The record is from RNAcentral. Lineage: Bacteria; Bacillati; Bacillota; Bacilli; Lactobacillales; Streptococcaceae.
GACGAACGCUGGCGGCGUGCCUAAUACAUGCAAGUUGAGCGCUGAAGGUUGGUACUUGUACCAACUGGAUGAGCAGCGAACGGGUGAGUAACGCGUGGGGAAUCUGCCUUUGAGCGGGGGACAACAUUUGGAAACGAAUGCUAAUACCGCAUAAAAACUUUAAACACAAGUUUUAAGUUUGAAAGAUGCAAUUGCAUCACUCAAAGAUGAUCCCGCGUUGUAUUAGCUAGUUGGUGAGGUAAAGGCUCACCAAGGCGAUGAUACAUAGCCGACCUGAGAGGGUGAUCGGCCACAUUGGGACUGAGACACGGCCCAAACUCCUACGGGAGGCAGCAGUAGGGAAUCUUCGGCAAUGGACGAAAGUCUGACCGAGCAACGCCGCGUGAGUGAAGAAGGUUUUCGGAUCGUGAAACUCUGUUGGUAGAGAAAGAAACGUUGGUGAGAAGUGGAAAAGCUCAUC